Long non-coding RNA from Girardinichthys multiradiatus, 436 nucleotides. RefSeq lists it as uncharacterized. The transcript is spliced from 3 exons. Lineage: Eukaryota; Metazoa; Chordata; Actinopteri; Cyprinodontiformes; Goodeidae. The record is from RefSeq and is a predicted model, not a curated record.
AAAAUCUCUUAAUGUAUAUAAAUUUUCCAGAAAAUUAAGUAUAAAUAAAAGAAAUAAGUAUAAAUUAUGUAUAAAUAUUGAAACAUAAAUAUCAAAUACCCAUGUAAUUUUUCCCUACAAGUUUUGUCAGGAUUUGGAGUUCUGCUGCCUACUGCUUACACCUUUUUGACACUAGGUGCCGCCAGUAGGAGUGUACCUGAGGCGACAGGUGUUGUGCAUCUACUCAUCAGCUGGGAAGCAUAUAGAGGAAGGUUGCCAACACCUCGGCGCCUGAGUGUUUUUGCCUCCGUGGUGUGAAUCUUACCUGAUCUGUUCCAAUCCUCCGUAGUGGCUAAGGCUACUUCCUGAUCUAGUCUGUGCAUGGCAAGCUGAACUCCUUUCCUGACAUUUAUUCUCUCCCUGUAAGGAAGAUUAGACUCGUCGCUCCUGUUGUUCC